RNAcentral lists this ribosomal RNA (468 nucleotides) under uncultured bacterium. RNAcentral describes it as "partial 16S ribosomal RNA". It matches the Rfam family "Bacterial small subunit ribosomal RNA", at positions 28 to 507 of the family's 1533-position model. The record is from RNAcentral.
GACGAACGCUGGCGGCGUGCUUAACACAUGCAAGUCGAACGGAAAGGCCCGGCUUUUGUUGGUUUCUCGAUUGGCGAAGAGGGGAGUAACACGUGAGUAACCUGCCCUUAUCUGUGUGGGAACUUCAGGGGACUGGGGCUAAUACCCGAUAUGAUCUCCUGCUGCAUGGUGUUGGUUAGAAAGUUUCGGCGGUUGGGGAUCGACUCGCUGCUUAUCAGCUUGUUUGUGUGGUAGGGGCUUACCAAGGCUUUGACGGGUAGCCGGCCUGAGAGGGUGACCGGCAACAUUGGGACUGAGAUAGGGACCAGAAUGCUACCGGAGGCAGCAGUGGAGAAUAUUGCACAAUGGGCGGAAGCCUGAUGCAGAAACGCUGCGUGCGGGAUGACGGCCUUCGGGUUGUAAACAGAUUUCGAAUGUGACGAAGAGUGCGUGACGGUAAUGGGUAAAGAAGCAACGGCUAACUACGUG